AGAUUGAACGCUAGCGGGAUGCUUUACACAUGCAAGUCGAACGGCAGCGCGGACUUCGGUCUGGCGGCGAGUGGCGAACGGGUGAGUAAUAUAUCGGAACGUGCCCAGUAGCGGGGGAUAACUACGCGAAAGCGUGGCUAAUACCGCAUACGCCCGUACGGGGGGAAAGGGGGGAUCGCAAGACCUCUCACUAUUGGAGCGGCCGAUAUCAGAUUAGCUAGUUGGUGAGGUAAAGGCUCACCAAGGCGACGAUCUGUAGCUGGUCUGAGAGGAUGAUCAGCCACACUGGGACUGAGACACGGCCCAGACU
RNAcentral lists this ribosomal RNA (310 nucleotides) under uncultured soil bacterium. Its description in RNAcentral is "bacterial SSU rRNA". It matches the Rfam family "Bacterial small subunit ribosomal RNA", at positions 26 to 337 of the family's 1533-position model. The record is from RNAcentral.